Molecule: ribosomal RNA, 406 nt
Filed under: uncultured bacterium
Lineage: Bacteria
Description: partial 16S ribosomal RNA
Rfam family: Bacterial small subunit ribosomal RNA
Source: RNAcentral
AAUAUUUCGCAAUGGAGGGAACUCUGACGCAGCGACGCCGCGUGAGCGAUGAGGGUCNNNGGAUCNUCAAGCUCUGUCCUUGGNGACNAAGGUCUUCGGACUUGACGGUACGUGAGGAGGAAGCCCCGGCUUACCACGCGCCAGCAGCCGCGGUAAUACGUAGGGGGCAAGCGUUGUCCGGAAUUGUUGGGCGUAAAGGGUGCGUAGGCGGGCUUUUAAGUCAGAUGUGAAAGCGCACGGCUUAACCGUAGGACUGCAUUUGAAACUGGAGGGCUUGAGUAUCGGAGAGGGUAGUGGAAUUCCCAGUGUAGCGGUGGAAUGCGUAGAUAUUGGGAGGAACACCAGUGGCGAAGGCGACUACCUGGACGAAAACUGACGCUGAGGCACGAAAGCUAGGGGAGCAAAC